GCUAUUUUUGGCAUGCAAGAGUGAGCCCUCGCCCACCACAAAUCUGUCUACCUGGUCUAGGAGGCUCACUUCCAGCUGCAGUGUCAACAUACCGAGAGAGGGAGAGUGACUUAAGAAGUUGGUGGGGAGCUUGGAACUGAAUCAACGUCUCCAGCUAGCACCCUGCACCUUUCUGCAGCCUUUUUCAGGAUACUUCCAGGACCCCUUGCAGAACCCCCAUUAAGUAUUGAAAUAAUUAGAAAAUUAAUACACAAAAAAUCUUCGCUGUGAAGCAUUUAGAAUCGCUACAUGCACAAACCCACAAAAAAAGCAGGUAAGUGAAACGUGAAGCCAUCUAAUAGUACAUACUAUGUAGGCCACUGUCACAGAUCCGAUACGGCACCCCCUCCAGGCCACCCAG
This 400-nucleotide long non-coding RNA is filed under the name Gopherus evgoodei (Goodes thornscrub tortoise). RNAcentral describes it as "lncRNA (ENSGEVG00005003659.1)". The record is from RNAcentral. Lineage: Eukaryota; Metazoa; Chordata; Testudines; Testudinidae.